Molecule: ribosomal RNA, 465 nt
Filed under: uncultured bacterium
Lineage: Bacteria
Description: partial 16S ribosomal RNA
Rfam family: Bacterial small subunit ribosomal RNA
Source: RNAcentral
GACGAACGCUGGCGGCGUGCUUAACACAUGCAAGUCGAACGGAAAGGCCCUGCUUGCAGGGUACUCGAGUGGCGAACGGGUGAGUAACACGUGGGUGAUCUGCCCUGCACUCCGGGAUAAGCCUGGGAAACUGGGUCUAAUACCGGAUAGGAGCCAUUUUUAGUGUGAUGGUUGGAAAGUUUUUUCGGUGUAGGAUGUGCUCGCGGCCUAUCAGCUUGUUGGUGGGGUAAUGGCCUACCAAGGCGGCGACGGGUAGCCGGCCUGAGAGGGUGGACGGCCACAUUGGGACUGAGAUACGGCCCAGACUCCUACGGGAGGCAGCAGUGGGGAAUAUUGCACAAUGGGCGCAAGCCUGAUGCAGCGACGCCGCGUGGGGGAUGACGGCCUUCGGGUUGUAAACUCCUUUCGCUAGGGACGAAGCUUUUUGUGACGGUACCUAGAUAAGAAGCACCGGCUAACUACGUG